AACGAACGCUGGCGGCAGGCCUAACACAUGCAAGUCGAGCGAGGACUUCGGUCCUAGCGGCGGACGGGUGAGUAACGCGUGGGAACGUGCCCUUUGCUUCGGAAUAGCCCUUGGAAACUGGGAGUAAUACCGGAUGAGCCCCUCGGGGGAAAGAUUUAUCGGGGAAGGAUCGGCCCGCGUUGGAUUAGGUAGUUGGUGGGGUAAUGGCCUACCAAGCCGACGAUCCAUAGCUGGUUUGAGAGGCUGAUCAGCCACACUGGGACUGAGACACGGCCCAGACUCCUACGGGAGGCAGCAGUGGGGAAUCUUAGACAAUGGGGGAAACCAUGAUCGAGCCAUGCCGCGUGAGCGAUGAAGGCCUUAGGGUUGUAAAGCUCUUUCAGCUGGGAAGAUAAUGACGGUACCAGCAGAAGAAGCCCCGGCUAACUCCGUG
Molecule: ribosomal RNA, 433 nt
Filed under: uncultured bacterium
Lineage: Bacteria
Description: partial 16S ribosomal RNA
Rfam family: Bacterial small subunit ribosomal RNA
Source: RNAcentral